CCUACGGGAGGCAGCAGUGGGGAAUCUUGGACAAUGGGGGCAACCCUGAUCCAGCCAUGCCGCGUGAGCGAAGAAGGCCCUAGGGUCGUAAAACUCUUUCGCCUGUGAUGAUAAUGACAGUAGCAGGUAAAGAAACCCCGGCUAACUCCGUGCCAGCAGCCGCGGUAAUACGGAGGGGGUUAGCGUUGUUCGGAAUUACUGGGCGUAAAGCGCACGUAGGCGGAUUAGAAAGUUAGAGGUGAAAUCCCGGGGCUCAACCCCGGAACUGCCUUUAAAACUACUAGUCUAGAGUUCGAGAGAGGUGAGUGGAAUUCCGAGUGUAGAGGUGAAAUUCGUAGAUAUUCGGAGGAACACCAGUGGCGAAGGCGGCUCACUGGCUCGAUACUGACGCUGAGGUGCGAAAGUGUGGGGAGCAAACAGGAUUAGAUACCCUGGUAGUCCACACCGUAAACGAUGAAUGCCAGUCGUCGAGUAGUAUACUAUUCGGUGACACACCUAACGGAUUAAGCAUUCCGCCUGGGGAGUACGGUCGCAAGAUUAAAACUCAAAGGAAUUGACGG
This 560-nucleotide ribosomal RNA is filed under the name uncultured bacterium. RNAcentral's name for it is "bacterial SSU rRNA". It matches the Rfam family "Bacterial small subunit ribosomal RNA", at positions 338 to 916 of the family's 1533-position model. The record is from RNAcentral.